This 514-nucleotide ribosomal RNA is filed under the name uncultured bacterium. RNAcentral's name for it is "bacterial SSU rRNA". It matches the Rfam family "Bacterial small subunit ribosomal RNA", at positions 791 to 1300 of the family's 1533-position model. The record is from RNAcentral.
UAGUCCACGCAGUAAACGAUGCACACUAGGCGUUGGAGGAUAUUGACCCCUUCAGUGCCGUAGCUUACGCGUUAAGUGUGCCGCCUGGGGAGUACGGCCGCAAGGCUAAAACUCAAAGGAAUUGACGGGGACCCGCACAAGCGGUGGAGCAUGUGGUUUAAUUCGACGCAACGCGAAGAACCUUACCUGGAUAAGACGCCAACUGCGAUCUUUGGAAACAUUGAGUUCUACUUCGGUAGACGGUUGGACAGGUGCUGCAUGGCUGUCGUCAGCUCGUGUCGUGAGAUGUUGGGUUAAGUCCCGCAACGAGCGCAACCCUUGUCUUCUGUUACCAGCAUUAAGUUGGGGACUCUGAAGAGACUGCCGGUGUUAAACCGGAGGAAGGUGGGGAUGACGUCAAGUCCUCAUGGCCCUUGAUAUCCAGGGCUACACACGUGCUACAAUGGGUGAUACAAAGGGAUGCAAAACCGUAAGGUCGAGCGAAUCUCAAAAAAUCAAUCCUCAGUUCGGAUUG